Molecule: long non-coding RNA, 3444 nt
Filed under: Daphnia pulex (common water flea)
Lineage: Eukaryota; Metazoa; Arthropoda; Branchiopoda; Diplostraca; Daphniidae
Description: uncharacterized LOC124199665, transcript variant X1
Source: RNAcentral
UUUCACGUCUCGUUUAGGUUUAGUUCCGUUCAUGACAUGGCACAGUUGGUUUGUUAUCUGUGUUGUUCUGUAGAUUGAGUUAGGUGUUAAACUUAGGGAACCAAUUCUUCAGACCCUGAAAGAUGUUAACUUCACGAAAAUGUCACCCGUUCAAGCUGCAUGUAUUUUUAGCUGUUGCUGCUAAAGAAAGAUUGUUGGCUGAAGCAGUCAUAGGCUCAGUCAAAACAUUACCAUUUAUCAUUCCCAUUUUAGAAAUUUUGCUGGCAUGGUCUGCUCCACUUAAAAAACAUAAAAUCGUUUACCCUCCUUCAAAUGAUCAGAAGUGCCCAUACUGUUGAAUGAGAUAUAAAGGUUUUUAUCAACCAUGGAGCCCAUCUUAUUUAACACUAGACCUGGAUGCUUUUCAUGGAUCUUCUUAUUCAGCAGGGUGACGGUGACCAUAUCAACCUACCUGGAGGAUUAAAGUCAUUGUAUGAAGCAGAUGGUUGAAAGGGACCAAAAAUUAGCUGUUUUAAAAACUUUGAUGAAAACUAAAGCUCCCGUCCAAUUCAUGGGUUUCAUGUUCACUUGUGCAGCGGUUGAAUAUUUUUCACUCAUUUUCAAACAGUUUUUUUGCCUUUUUGGUGUUGAGUAUUCACGAAAAACGGAAAAGACUGCCCGCAUCGGUAAUCGGUGAACAACACUAUUAGCCUUACUCCAACGAAAGAGCCUUACGUUCACUUCAUUGAAAAACAUCAACGAAAAGGUGAGGUUAACACAAAUGGCAGCAGCAAAACGAUCGCUCUUCAUUACAUCAUGGACAAGGCCACUAGAGCGUUUGUUUCUAACAUACAAUCUAACGUCAAACACGAAUAUUCUGUUCUAUUUCGAGUCAAAGAUUUAGAUUUCGGUCGUUUGGCCGCGGGUUUCGGUCUCCUUACGCUCCCGAAAAUGCCCGAACUCGAGAAUUGAAUGACGGGAUUUCUUUCAGCCGAUGAAUAUUGAUCUCUACUUUAUCACUUACAAGCUCGAGAAAACAAUUGACAAGAGAAAUUAACCAUCUACUGCGAGACGGGAGUUAACGAGGAAGCCAUUGGCUCAUUACUGUAACCAUUAACUUGAAUCUGAUGUUGAACCUGGCAAACGCGACAAGAAAUGAUGCAGCACACUUCAGUUUCAUUCAAUCCAAGAGGCAAUGAGAAAGCAGUUAUGCCAAAGGCAAAAAAUCUUCAUGCAUCAACAUGACCAGUGAGAGUCAAGUGACAAUGUUGAGUUGGUGCUUCUUCUUCAGGAUGACAUCAAGACAAGACGUGGUAUAACUUAACCUAACCUAACUUUCCAUUUCAGCACUACUUAAUCAAGGAAAUAUUAGUCAUCGUGCCCGUUAAUAUGGUGCCCUUGCCAGUAAUAGUAAAGCAGGGGGGGGGGACAACCGGAACAGUAACAGCGGCGAGAUUCUCAAAAGUGACCAGUUUGACAAUUUGAAAGCAGCUGCUGAAUGGUCCUGGGAUCACGAAUUUAUUCGCCCAUUUGUCGCAGUGUUGUUGGAGCAAUUAUUUGUUUGGCCGUCGGUCAUGUGGGAUCGCUUCGAACUCAAACAUCACCGCAAUGAACCGAGACUAGGACGCUAUUUGGUAGACGCAAGGGACAAAAGAUAUCCUACCGGGAGAUCGAGUCUUUUCUCAGUGUGAUCCUAGUUCGCCCCCAGUCAAUCCCGUUGAACAAAUUGCGUCGCAGAUGGGAACUUCUUUUAGUUAUUCCAUGGAAAUUGGGGGACCAUUGAGUCGCAUUUCCGAAAGCGUCAGCCAGUUGGUGUUGGCACAGCCGAAGCCAAUGUAGCUAAUGGGCACAAGUAACAAUGGUUACAUGGCCGCUGGAGAAAGUCUGAUUGACGGCGGUGUUGCGUCCAUGGCCAGUUUUAGUGAUGAAAAGCUGCCGUAAUUGAAUCCCCCUUUGUUAAGUUUUCACCCGCUCGAGUACAACAGCGUUCAAGGUUGUCACACGUCUUACGAUGAUAGUUGAUCUGGCGUCCCCUUUUCAACAACACCUGACAGGCCAGCAGAUAGCUGUAAUGCAAAUUUGCCAAACUCUUCGUUAUGCUGACUGAAAUUGUCUCUGUUAUCCAUCAGUUCCUUAGUCUACUGUCCAGUACGGAAUACGAAAUCGCAUUACAACUGGUUAUUGGUUUGGAACCGGAAGAAUGUUGUUUUCAAAACUGAAAAAGAUCAUCGAAGUACUCUUCGUCAACAGCAAUUUGUUAUUGCCAACAAACAGUGCAUGAAGAGUUCAUCCCCUAACCGCUAUUUCAUGUUCCGUGACACGCGGGAUGCGAAUUACUUGAAAUCUAAACUCAGGCAAAGGAGCAACCCGGAAGCGGCUCACCUCUGGAAGUUGAAUGUUGAGCGAAGAUGAGUACUCUAUAAAGUUCAAAUGAAUUUUAUUUAAAUCUUAAACGUGUCAUCUAAUUUAAUGUAAAUUCUAGUUUAACAAUCGUCACAGAUAAUGUUGCAGUAGAAUAUUUUAGUUUAUUAUUUGAAUUGAUAUAAUGUUCACGUUUAGCGUUGAUGUUGCUGUCAAAUGUGGCAUGUUGUUGCAGCCUUAGGUGGUGCUGCAAAAACAGUGCAGGACGAAUUCAACUCGUGAUUGCUGUUUCAUGUGCGCCGUCACGCAGGAUGAAUUUUGAUGCUUAAGACUUGGAAACAUGCUGUCCACCACAUCCAGAAGCUGAGUAACAUUUUACAUGUGGAUGUGGAAAGUUCUGAAUGGCAUCUUUUAAGGUCCAUCUUUUAAUACAAGGAGCUUCCACCAACCAGUCUAGGACUUGCAUCUAAUUGUGCAGGUUUCGUGGAGUUCUCAUUUACCUUUGCUGUGAACAUCAUGAACACAUACACUAUUUGAAGGUUCAUGUUUACGGAGCAGUGGUGUUGCUGUCCAAUGUGGUGUGUUGUUGCAGCCUAUGGUGGUGAAAGAUAUCUGCAUCAAGUUGCUGUUCCUUGUGCAUCCAAGGUGCUGGUUUUGUUCUACAGAAGUGACAUCCAAUAUUGUGUUUAAUUGCUAUUUGUGCCUUUGCAGUUUUAUCUUUAUAUAUUGAGAAGGAACAAAAAAAAAUUAUUACGGGGAGGUUUAUGUCAAACAAAUAAUAAACAUGUCCGGGAUGGGGGAAUGAGGAGGAAGUUGGAGUGGGGUAUUUGAUUAUGAUUUACUAAAAGAAGUGAGGUAUAUUUUUAAUGAAUAUGCAAUACUUGGUGAUAAAAUCUGUUGUUAACCUAUACCUUCUCGUCAACCUAUACCUUCCCUACUUCCACUUACACAUCCAUUCCUCAAACCCCAUAAGCAUCAACAUCAAAUCCCACAUCCACUCACAUCCAUUCCUAAAACCCCACAAUCUCCAACAACAAAUUCACACAAUAGUUGUAUAUCUAUAAUCAUGUUUAUAUGUAAAUAAAUAAAAUGCCUUGUAUAUAA